UAGAGUUUGAUCAUGGCUCAGAACGAACGCUGGCGGCAGGCCUAACACAUGCAAGUCGAACGCCCCGCAAGGGGAGUGGCAGACGGGUGAGUAACGCGUGGGAACCUACCUAGAGGUGCGGAAUAGCCCAGGGAAACUUGGAGUAAUACCGCAUAAGCCCGCAAGGGGAAAGAUUUAUCGCCUUUAGAUGGGCCCGCGUCGGAUUAGCUAGUUGGUGAGGUAAUGGCUCACCAAGGCGACGAUCCGUAGCUGGUUUGAGAGAAUGACCAGCCACACUGGGACUGAGACACGGCGCAGACUCCUACGGGAGGCAGCAGUGGGGAAUCUUGGACAAUGGGCGCAAGCCUGAUCCAGCCAUGCCGCGUGAGUGACGAAGGCCUUAGGGUUGUAAAGCUCUUUUGGCGGGGACGAUAAUGACGGUACCCGCAGAAUAAGUCCCGGCUAACUUCGUGCCAGCAGCCGCGGUAAUACGAAGGGGACUAGCGUUGUUCGGAAUUACUGGGCGUAAAGCGCACGUAGGCGGAUUUGUUAGUCAGGGGUGAAAUCCCGGGGCUCACCUCGGAACUGCCCUUGAUACUGCAAGUCUUGAGUCCGGAAGAGGUGAGUGGAAUUCCUAGUGUAGAGGUGAAAUUCGUAAUUUAGGAGAACACCAUGGCGAAGCGGCUCACUGGUCCGGUACUGACGCUGAGUGCGAAGCGUGGGGAGCAAAAGGAUAAAUACCCGGUAGUCCACGCGAAAGAUGAUGCAACGUCGGAAGCUUGCUUGUCGGGGCGCACUACCCUUAACAUCCCGCCG
RNAcentral lists this ribosomal RNA (795 nucleotides) under uncultured bacterium. RNAcentral describes it as "bacterial SSU rRNA". It matches the Rfam family "Bacterial small subunit ribosomal RNA", at positions 9 to 873 of the family's 1533-position model. The record is from RNAcentral.